UAGUGGAGCGAUUUGUCUGCUUAAUUGCGAUAACGAACGAGAUCCGAGCCUACUUAUGAUAGUGGGUAGCAUUAGUUUUCCACUGAUCUUUGUGUGUUCACUUCACCGUGACACACACUGGUUGAUGUUAACCUAUGCAAGUCCGCUUCUUAGAGGCACAAUAUGCGAUAUAAUAGCAUAUAGAAGUUGGACCAUAACA
RNAcentral lists this ribosomal RNA (199 nucleotides) under uncultured eukaryote. Its description in RNAcentral is "partial 18S ribosomal RNA". It matches the Rfam family "Eukaryotic small subunit ribosomal RNA", at positions 1299 to 1458 of the family's 1831-position model. The record is from RNAcentral.